GAUGAAGAACGCAGUGAAAUGCGAUACGUAAUGUGAAUUGCAGAAUUCAGUGAAUCAUCGAAUCUUUGAACGCACAUUGCACUCCUUGGUAUUCCGAGGAGUAUGCCUGUUUCAGUAUCAUGAGCACUCUCACAUCUAACCUUUGGGUUAAAAUGUGGAAUUGGGAUGCGCCGGUUAUUAUAACGGCCCUCCUAAAAUUCAGUUCUUGGCUGCCUCCUACUACAGCAGUUUGGCCUAAUAGUUUUGAGUCUUCGAUUCAAAUCUUUGGCUAACAUUUGCUUCAGGAUGUCAGUCUUGAUAUACAGAAAUCUCAUUCAAACUUUGAUCUGAAAUCAGGUAGGGCUACCCGCUGAACUUAAGCAUAUCAAUAAGCGGAGGA
Molecule: unclassified non-coding RNA, 379 nt
Filed under: soil metagenome
Description: partial contains 5.8S ribosomal RNA, internal transcribed spacer 2, and large subunit ribosomal RNA
Rfam family: 5.8S ribosomal RNA (bases 1-120)
Source: RNAcentral